RNAcentral lists this ribosomal RNA (707 nucleotides) under uncultured Enterobacteriaceae bacterium. RNAcentral describes it as "bacterial SSU rRNA". It matches the Rfam family "Bacterial small subunit ribosomal RNA", at positions 794 to 1502 of the family's 1533-position model. The record is from RNAcentral. Lineage: Bacteria; Pseudomonadati; Pseudomonadota; Gammaproteobacteria; Enterobacterales; Enterobacteriaceae.
UCCACGCUGUAAACGAUGUCGAUUUGGAGUUUGUUGCCUAGAGUGAUGGGCUCCGAAGCUAACGCGAUAAAUCGACCGCUGGGGAGUACGGCCGCAAGGUUAAAACUCAAAUGAAUUGACGGGGGCCCGCACAAGCGGUGGAGCAUGUGGCUUAAUUCGAUGCAACGCGAAGAACCUUACCUGGUCUUGACAUCCAUAGAAUUCUGCAGAGAUGUGGGAGUGCCUUCGGGAACUAUGAGACAGGUGCUGCAUGGCUGUCGUCAGCUCGUGUUGUGAAAUGUUGGGUUAAGUCCCGCAACGAGCGCAACCCUUAUUCUUUGUUGCCAGCGAUUUGGUCGGGAACUCAAAGGAGACUGCCGUUGAUAAAGCGGAGGAAGGUGGGGACGACGUCAAGUCAUCAUGGCCCUUACGACCAGGGCUACACACGUGCUACAAUGGCGUAUACAAAGGGAAGCGAAGGUGCGAGCUGGAGCGGAUCUCAUAAAGUACGUCUAAGUUCGGAUUGGAGUCUGCAACUCGACUCCAUGAAGUCGGAAUCGCUAGUAAUCGUAGAUCAGAAUGCUACGGUGAAUACGUUCCCGGGCCUUGUACACACCGCCCGUCACACCAUGGGAGUGGGUUGCACCAGAAGUAGAUAGCUUAACCGCGAGGGGGGCGUUUACCACGGUGUGAUUCAUGACUGGGGUGAAGUCGUAACAAGGUAACCA